CUGAAUCACAGUAUACAGUAACCCAUCAUGUAAGCUGAUAUACAAAGCCCACAAGGCGGCCGGCCGCCGUGUGUCACCAAAUGUCAAUAUAUAGAUAGCCUCAACCUUCCCAUUUUCAGAAACCUUCUAACUGAAGUGUUACUUCACAGGAGGAAGUAAGUAGACAUGUCCAAAUUGUUGACGACGACAAUGGAAAAACAGAAUUUGAUGAGGCAGUGCAAGAGGGUCAAACUUUAACAGCUCCACAAGAACUCUGUGAUAGUAAAGAAGGCAAUAAGCAGGGAAGGCUUGGAAUGGGC
RNAcentral lists this long non-coding RNA (299 nucleotides) under Ricinus communis (castor bean). Its description in RNAcentral is "long non-coding RNA (RCOM_LNC003522)". Lineage: Eukaryota; Viridiplantae; Streptophyta; Magnoliopsida; Malpighiales; Euphorbiaceae. The record is from RNAcentral.